GCAGGAGCUGGCUUGCUGGCGAUUGGGACAACGCGGUAUACAGCGAAACCGCGCCGUUUCUAUCGCCAGCAAGCCGGUUCCUAC
RNAcentral lists this unclassified non-coding RNA (84 nucleotides) under Pseudomonas migulae. The record is from RNAcentral. Lineage: Bacteria; Pseudomonadati; Pseudomonadota; Gammaproteobacteria; Pseudomonadales; Pseudomonadaceae.